AACAAGGCGUACCUGCGGACCUGCGGAAGGAUCAUUACAAGUGACCCCGGUUUACCACCGGGAUGUUCAUAACCCUUUGUUGUCCGACUCUGUUGCCUCCGGGGCGACCCUGCCUUCGGGCGGGGGCUCCGGGUGGACACUUCAAACUCUUGCGUAACUUUGCAGUCUGAGUAAACUUAAUUAAUAAAUUAAAACUUUUAACAACGGAUCU
RNAcentral lists this unclassified non-coding RNA (211 nucleotides) under soil metagenome. Its description in RNAcentral is "partial contains 5.8S ribosomal RNA, internal transcribed spacer 2, and large subunit ribosomal RNA". The record is from RNAcentral.